Cucumis melo (muskmelon) is the source of this 1338-nucleotide long non-coding RNA. RefSeq lists it as uncharacterized. Lineage: Eukaryota; Viridiplantae; Streptophyta; Magnoliopsida; Cucurbitales; Cucurbitaceae. The record is from RefSeq and is a predicted model, not a curated record. The transcript has 4 exons.
GUUACAUGCAGCCUUGUUGUGGACGAUUAAUGACUUUUCGACGAAUGGUGACCUAUCAGGUUGGAGUAUAAAAGAGUAUUAGGCAUGUCCCUUAUGCAUGGGUGAUAGAUUGUCGUUCAGGAUACGAGGUAGAAUAUCCUUCAUGGAACAUUGACGCUAUCUUCCAAAGAACCACAUGUGGAGUAGAAGUAGGCUACACGAUGGAAAGCUAGGCGAUAGGUGUGUGUGUGCAAAAGACAUUUUCAGUUUGUUGCCUUAAGUGGGCGGACGUAGGUAGAGAAUACAUCGAGGUCGUUAAGGGCGACCUACAGGUACGUCCACUACAUAUUUUUAUUUUCAUUUGAAACAUAUUUAAGUUAACCAUGCUAAUGUGUUGUUUUUUGUAAUGUGUAGCGUUUUUUCGUACUUAAUUUCAAUGGAUAGGUUCGUUGAGCAUCAAGUGCUUAGUACCUUUAAAGAGUUCCGGGACGAUUGUCACAUACACUUCAAAAAGUACAGCUACCUUGAGGAGACACAUGCCAACCCACCACCACACAUAUUGGUAGGACAUAAUGGGGAUUGACACUACCUCUAUGAUCAUUAUAUGAGCUGUGCAUUCCAGUUGAGCAACUAAAUGCUUUAUAAUGAUUUAUUAUGUUUUCAACUUUUAAUGUGUAUAAGAGUUAACCAAUAGAGCAAUCAUGGACCAACAAGGCUGUUAGACAUAAGCAGCCUUACAAUCAUAGUAGCAGGUCGUAGUUGUUUCUACAACGACAACAUGAGCUCGUUGAGCAAAGAGAGAAGCCAGUCGAUCGUGUGGAGUUGUUUCGAUAAACACACGUUCGAGAUGGGACUUUCGUAUCGCAGGCCGCAAAGGAUACACAUAACUCCAGUCCCAGCCUACCCCCAAGGGUUCUCAGCCACUCUUUGAGAACGAGAUAUGCAAGACUGUGUUGGGUAGAUGACCAUGGUACUCAAAAGACCUUGGUUAGGGACCAAAGCCCAAGGCUCGCAAGACGGCUAGUGCGAGCAAUGCCACGACCUCGUGUUUGCAAUCCACGGUAGAGCUUUAAUUACGGGCUGAGCUUGAUGAAGCUAAGCGAGCGAUUGAAGAACAGACAAGAAAGCAAGAUAUGUUAGCUUUAGAAGUGGAACGAAUGCGGAAGCUCAUAGAAGACAUGACUUGGGCAUAAUAAACACCACCACAUGAUCCCUAACUUUACGGCCCUACGGUGUAGAAUGACGUACGAGACUCGUUAGAAGACAUACACUAUUUUAUAUGGAUUUCUGUGUACUUUUUAUUUUUGAAACAUUUACUAUUUUUUAUUUUUAUUAUAAACUUUGUUUAAAUUUUUUAAC